CACCGGCGGCCCGAGUGGUAGCCGUUUUUAUUGGGUCUAAAGGGUCCGUAGCCGGCUUGAUAAGUCUUUUGGGAAAUCUGGCAGCUUAACUGUCAGGCUUCUAAGGGAUACUGUCAGGCUUGGGACCGGAAGAGGUAAGGGGUACUCCAGGGGUAGGAGUGAAAUCUUGUAAUCCCUGGGGGACCAUCUGUGGCGAAGGCGCCUUACCAGAACGGGUCCGACGGUGAGGGACGAAAGCUAGGGGAGCAAACCGG
Molecule: ribosomal RNA, 254 nt
Filed under: uncultured archaeon
Lineage: Archaea
Description: partial 16S ribosomal RNA
Rfam family: Archaeal small subunit ribosomal RNA
Source: RNAcentral